GACGAACGCUGGCGGCGUGCUUAACACAUGCAAGUCGAACGGAAAGGCCCUGCUUUUGUGGGGUGCUCGAGUGGCGAACGGGUGAGUAACACGUGUGUAACCUGCACUUGACUUUGGGAUAACUUCAGGAAACUGGGGCUAAUAUCGGAUAGGAGAUCCUGCUGCAUGGGGGGGGUUGGAAAGUUUCGGCGGUUGGGGAUGGAAUCGCGGGUUAUCCGCUUGUUGGUGAGGUAGUGGCUUACCAAGGCUUUGACGGGUAGCCGGCCUGAGAGGGUGACCGGGCACAAUGGGCCUGAGAGACGGCCCAGACUCCUACGGGACGCAGUAGUCGGGAAUAUUGCACAAUGGGCGGAAGCCAGAUGCAGCGACGCCGCGUGCGGGAUAACGGCCUUCGGGGUGUAAACCGAUUUCGACGGUGACGAAGCGUGAGUGACGGUAAUUGGUAAAGAAGCACCGGCUAACUACGUG
This 468-nucleotide ribosomal RNA is filed under the name uncultured bacterium. Its description in RNAcentral is "partial 16S ribosomal RNA". It matches the Rfam family "Bacterial small subunit ribosomal RNA", at positions 28 to 507 of the family's 1533-position model. The record is from RNAcentral.